RNAcentral lists this ribosomal RNA (571 nucleotides) under uncultured Actinomycetes bacterium. RNAcentral's name for it is "bacterial SSU rRNA". It matches the Rfam family "Bacterial small subunit ribosomal RNA", at positions 250 to 833 of the family's 1533-position model. Lineage: Bacteria; Bacillati; Actinomycetota; Actinomycetes. The record is from RNAcentral.
UGGUGGGGUAACGGCCUACCAAGGCGACGACGGGUAGCUGGCGUGAGAGCGUGGCCAGCCACACUGGGACUGAGACACGGCCCAGACUCCUACGGGAGGCAGCAGUGGGGAAUCUUGCGCAAUGGGCGAAAGCCUGACGCAGCGACGCCGCGUGGGGGAUGAAGGCCUUCGGGUUGUAAACCCCUUUCGGCAGGGAAGAAGCGAAAGUGACGGUACCUGCAGAAGAAGCCCCGGCUAACUACGUGCCAGCAGCCGCGGUAAGACGUAGGGGGCGAGCGUUGUCCGGAUUUAUUGGGCGUAAAGCGCGCGUAGGCGGUCCGUUAAGUCGGAUGUGAAAAUCCGGGGCUCAACCCCGGACCUGCAUCCGAUACUGGCGGGCUGGAGACAGGUAGGGGAGAUCGGAAUUCCUGGUGUAGCGGUGAAAUGCGCAGAUAUCAGGAGGAACACCGGUGGCGAAGGCGGAUCUCUGGGCCUGUCCUGACGCUCAGGCGCGAAAGCUAGGGGAGCAAACAGGAUUAGAUACCCUGGUAGUCCUAGCUGUAAACGUUGGGUGCUAGGUGUGGGGCGGCGU